Molecule: ribosomal RNA, 497 nt
Filed under: uncultured bacterium
Lineage: Bacteria
Description: partial 16S ribosomal RNA
Rfam family: Bacterial small subunit ribosomal RNA
Source: RNAcentral
GAUGAACGCUGGCGGCGUGCCUAAUACAUGCAAGUCGAGCGAACAGAUGAGGAGCUUGCUCCUCUGACGUUAGCGGCGGACGGGUGAGUAACACGUGGAUAACCUACCUAUAAGACUGGGAUAACUUCGGGAAACCGGAGCUAAUACCGGAUAAUAUAUUGAACCGCAUGGUUCAAUAGUGAAAGACGGUUUUGCUGUCACUUAUAGAUGGAUCCGCGCCGCAUUAGCUAGUUGGUAAGGUAACGGCUUACCAAGGCAACGAUGCGUAGCCGACCUGAGAGGGUGAUCGGCCACACUGGAACUGAGACACGGUCCAGACUCCUACGGGAGGCAGCAGUAGGGAAUCUUCCGCAAUGGGCGAAAGCCUGACGGAGCAACGCCGCGUGAGUGAUGAAGGUCUUCGGAUCGUAAAACUCUGUUAUUAGGGAAGAACAAAUGUGUAAGUAACUAUGCACGUCUUGACGGUACCUAAUCAGAAAGCCACGGAUAACUACGUG